GAUGAAGAACGCAGCGAAAUGCGAUAAGUAAUGCGAAUUGCAGAAUCCGUGAGUCAUCGAAUCUUUGAACGCACAUUGCGCCCUCUGGCAUUCCGGGGGGCAUGCCUGUCCGAGCGUCAUUGCUGCCCUCAAGCACGGCUUGUGUGUUGGGCCUCCGUCCUCCUCCCGGGGGACGGGCCCGAAAGGCAGCGGCGGCACCGCGUCCGGUCCUCGAGCGUAUGGGGCUUCGUCACCCGCUCUUGUAGGCCCGGCCGGCGCUUGCCGACACAUCAAUCUUUUUUCCAGGUUGACCUCGGAUCAGGUAGGGAUACCCGCUGAACUUAAGCAUAUCAAUAAGCGGAGGA
This 344-nucleotide unclassified non-coding RNA is filed under the name soil metagenome. RNAcentral describes it as "partial contains 5.8S ribosomal RNA, internal transcribed spacer 2, and large subunit ribosomal RNA". The stretch from base 1 to 119 matches the Rfam family "5.8S ribosomal RNA", at positions 35 to 154 of the family's 154-position model. The record is from RNAcentral.